UUCUACAGACCACUCUUUAACCCUGGAGAACCCAUGGGGUCGGAUCUGACCCCAUGGGUUCUCCAGAGUUAAAUAUCCUCUCUUUUUCCCUCUGAUGUUGCAAAACCAUUAAAUACACCACUGUCACAUCGGUUGACGUAUUCUCAUCCUGCCGCUGUGAAUACUUGCAUCGCCAAAAUGCAUCAGUCCACAGCCGAAAAUAGUCCCAAACAAAUGCAUUAUUUAGUCCUACUAAAAACUACAAUGCCCAGCAUAUUCACGGAGAACAAAUGGCUUCAGACUAAUGCAUUUCCAGCCUUUUUUGUUUGUUUUUUUAGGGGGAGGGGGAUGAAUUCUGCGCACCUACUGAUGUGCGCUUUAAUUAGUUCCCCGGAGAACAAAUUAAAUUGCUAAUCAAACAGCAGCCCCGGUUAGAUUAGUAAGCAGCUGUGUAAUUCAGCUCCUCCACAGUGGAAUGAUUUGUUGGGAUCUUGUGUGCCAUGUUAAUCGCUUAACGGCUGGCUGACAUAUAUAAAUGGCUUUCCACUUGGGGGCAACAAACACUCACCUGCACGGGUUGGUUGGUUCAAGGACAAAACUGCUAUCUAAAGGACAAAAAACUAAGACGCUGCUGUCACCGAGGAAGCAUUGGGGAUCUGUGCCUGGGCAUGACAUGCAGCAAUCAUGUCAACCAGUCAAACAAACUGGACUUCGCACUCAAUCAGUCACUUUUGGGUACCGUACAGGUGGCCUAGUCCAUAACAGCACUGGCCGGGUGCGAUAUGGGUACAGAAGCUCUGGGGAAGUCUGGCACCAGGACAUUGGCAGUGGAUCCUUCGGGUCCUGUGGGAUACAAGUGAAGCCUCGAUGGAUUAAUCUUUUACCGGCACAUCCCACGGAUACUUUAUUGGACUGGGAAGUUGGCGAUGUGUUCAUGAGAGUGCUUCUACUGUGGGAGCCCACAGCAACAACCUUUUGGUGGGUGGUCAGAAACAGAAAUGCCAUAAGCCAGUGUGUCCCGGCAUAACAUUGUGUUGCAACCAGAUGAUCAGUAUUAUUCAAUGUCGUGGCCUAUGUAUUAUUUUACAGUGGCUUGCUAUUUCCUCACGCUUCAAACGUGCCUAAUAAGCUAACCUAACUACCUUCUCACUGUAACCUUUCUGUGUAUUUUCAGUAUGAAACCCUUAUCAAUAUUCUUAAUAAAUCAAAUCUGCUUAUUUCCAAAAUGUAAAAGUAUUCCUUUAAUUUAAAAUAUCGUGCGCUGUCUUUACAGUCCUGAACUUCACGAAGUAACUUAGUCAGGUCAUGCACUUCUUUCUCGUUUCAAAUCACAGACCUUAUUAUCAACCAGACUUAAUCAUGUUUCCCUUGUUCACAAGGUGGAUAUUUGUACUGCGUCUAGUACACUCAGUCAAUAAUGCAUUUUUUUCUCAGCGUGACUAUUACCUGCUCUUUGAUCCACAAUGAAAUGUGGGCUUACAUCAUUUCUCAAUGUUCUACAUUCAUAAACUAUUCCUUCCCAAGUCUCAGUUCUUGACACCGUUCAGGCUCAGAGGGGAUGAGCCCUACACACAGAAUAGCUAAUACAGCUACCAGCAGCUCAGACAGAGGGGAGUAAUACCAGAAUCCCCGUCUUGUCAUUUCUCACAGGCUUAGUCCCGCUUUCAUCUUUGAUGUACACUGUAUCCUAAUGUAAUGCCGCAUCCAUGUAUCUUGAUCCACUUUGUACUUCGACUGACUCAGCAAUGGGAUAAGUGUAAUUAAACUGUAGUUUUGCAUAAGAUAGAAGCUUUAAAGACAUUUUCGCAUGAACGUUACACGUCUCGUAGCCUUGGAAGUAGAGAAGAGUGAAAGAUCUGGCGUCAGGGUCAGUCCCUUGGUCACUCGGGGCUGACGUGAAUCACUGUGUAUCUCCGUUGUUUAUACUGUGGAAAAGAUUUUUAAUUAGCCCCUUAUUUUCACUGCAUGUGCAAGUGGCAUUUCCAGAUAUAAAAACUCUUUUGCAACUUUUAUCAGAAUAAAAUAAUUUAUAUUCUCUUGACAGGAAACAGUUCUUUGUGAUUGUCAGACAGACUGUCGGCGGAUAAAUCGGAAUAAUCCGUUCGCAGUAAUAAGCAUUCAACACUAUGUCCAAAGAGAAUAAAAUAGAUAAAAUGAAUUGCAAUGAUGCCUUUUUUCUUUCUUUCUUUUUUUUGGUAACACCCCCUCUCCGCCUGCUACCCCCCUGAAAAAGAAGAUGAUUAAUAGCAAGUAACUGUGGACACCGACUGAAUGAAAAAAAGUACAAUCAAGAAGGCAAAUUAACAGUCAUUUACUGCAAGGUUUAGACUCAGUGUAAUAAAAUGCUCUUUUUGGAAUAGAUGUAAAUGUAUUUCUUUUUUUAUAAUUUAUUGUAACUCCAAACAAAAAUAAUUUCUACAAAAAAUAUUCAAAUAAUGUCAUAUAAUAUCGAUACGUGGUUCAUAUCUUUUCUCUCUCUUUUAGACUUCUGAUUAGUUAAAUUCUUCUUCCUGAAUACUGUGUGAAGAUUAAAUCUCGCUAAGUGUGGCAACAAUCACUCAUUCCUAUAACAACCAUAAUAGUGACUAAUGUAUUAUAAUUCAUAACCCCCUGGAUAUUAUAUAAUAUGUAUAAUCUCAGCAACUGCUAGUGGGCACAUUAGAUACAAUGACUGAAGAUAUAUAUUUUUUUUUU
Molecule: long non-coding RNA, 2673 nt
Organism: Oreochromis niloticus (Nile tilapia)
Lineage: Eukaryota; Metazoa; Chordata; Actinopteri; Cichliformes; Cichlidae
Exons: 4
Source: RefSeq, a predicted model, not a curated record